Molecule: ribosomal RNA, 880 nt
Filed under: uncultured bacterium
Lineage: Bacteria
Description: bacterial SSU rRNA
Rfam family: Bacterial small subunit ribosomal RNA
Source: RNAcentral
UCGAACGAGAAACCCUAGGCUUGCUCGGGGGAGUAAAGUGGCGCCCGGGUGAGUAACGCGUGGGUAACCCACCUCUGAAUCUGAAUAACUUCGCGAAAGCGUUGCUAAUACCGGAUAUGUCCCUGGGACUGUGGUUCUUGGGAUGAAAGGUGACCUCUUCCUGAAAGUUGCCGUUUAGAGACGGGCCCGCGUACCAUUAGCUAGUUGGUAGGGUAAUGGCCUACCAAGGCUGGGAUGGUUAGCUGGUCUGAGAGGAUGACCAGCCACACUGGCACUGAAACACGGGCCAGACUCCUACGGGAGGCAGCAGUGAGGAAUUUUGCGCAAUGGGGGCAACCCUGACGCAGCAACGCCGCGUGAGCGAAGAAGGCCUUCGGGUCGUAAAGCUCUGUCUAGUGGGAAAAAAGUCUUCCGGUAAAUAGCCGGAAGAUCUGAUGGUACCGCUGGAGGAAGCACCGGCUAACUCCGUGCCAGCAGCCGCGGUAAUACGGAGGGUGCAAGCGUUGUUCGGAAUUAUUGGGCGUAAAGGGCGUGUAGGCGGUUUGGUAAGUCAGAUGUGAAAGCCCUGGGCUUAACUCAGGAAGUGCAUUUGAAACUGCCAUCCUUGAGUAUGGGAGAGGAGAGUGGAAUUCCCAGUGUAGAGGUGAAAUUCGUAGAUAUUGGGAGGAACACCCGUGGCGAAGGCGACUCUCUGGACCAAUACUGACGCUGAGACGCGAAAGCGUGGGGAGCAAACAGGAUUAGAUACCCUGGUAGUCCACGCCGUAAACGAUGAGAACUAGGUGUAGCGGGUAUUGACCCCUGCUGUGCCGUAGCUAACGCAUUAAGUUCUCCGCCUGGGGAGUACGGUCGCAAGGCUAAAACUCAAAUGAAUUGACGG